This 249-nucleotide long non-coding RNA is filed under the name Solanum tuberosum (potato). RNAcentral's name for it is "long non-coding RNA (STUB_LNC001276)". Lineage: Eukaryota; Viridiplantae; Streptophyta; Magnoliopsida; Solanales; Solanaceae. The record is from RNAcentral.
AGUGAAGAGGCAUUUGAUUUGAUGCUGUUUUGGAUCCUAUUCUGAAGUUGCCCGAUUGUUAUUAAGAAAAGUAGCUACGAUUGAUGAGUUUGGCAACUUUAUUUAUCACUUGUUGGAAGAAAGUUUUGAUGAUGUUGAAUCUGAUUUUAACAAUUUUCUUGAGUUAUCGUUCAAUCUACUAUGUAGACUUUGAUCUGUUACUCCCCUUCUCUUGGUUGAAUUUCCAUAUUCCUGUGUUAAUUACUUUCU